AGUUCGAUCAUGGCUCAGAUUGAACGCUGGCGGGAUGCUUUACACAUGCAAGUCGAACGGCAGCACGGACUUCGGUCUGGUGGCGAGUGGCGAACGGGUGAGUAAUGUAUCGGAACGUGCCUAGUAGCGGGGACAACUACGCGAAAGCGUAGCCAAUAUCGCAUACGCCCUUCGGGGGUGCUGGGACCUUUCGGGCCUCGCACUAUUAGAGCGGCCGAUAUCGGAUUAGCUAGUUGGUGGGGUAACGGCUCACCACAAGGACGAUCCGUAGCUGGUUUGAGAGGACGACCAGCCACACUGGGACUGAGACACGGCCCAGACUCCUACGGGAGGCAGCAGUGGGGAAUUUUGGAUAAUGGGGGAAACCCCGAUCCAGCCAUCCCGCGUGUGCGAUGAAGGCCUGCCAGGUAAGCACUGGCAGAAAAGAAAACGGCACGGGAUAAUACCCCCGUGCAACUGACGGUACCUGCAGAAUAAGCACCGGUUAACCACGUGCCAGCAGCCGCGGUAAUACGUAGGGUGCAAAGCGUUAAUCGGAAUUACUGGGCGUAAAGCGUGCGCAGGCGGUUCGGAAAGAAAGAUGUGAAAUCCCCAGAGCUUAACUUUGAACCGUAUUUUUAACUACUGAGCUAGAGUGUGUCAGAGGGAGUGUGGAAUUCCGCGUGUAGCAGUGAAAUGCGUAGAUAUGCGGAGGAACACCGAUGGCGAAGGCAGCCUCCUGGGAUAACACUGACGCUCAUGCACGAAAGCGUGGGGAG
Molecule: unclassified non-coding RNA, 758 nt
Filed under: uncultured Bordetella sp.
Lineage: Bacteria; Pseudomonadati; Pseudomonadota; Betaproteobacteria; Burkholderiales; Alcaligenaceae
Description: partial 16S-23S ribosomal RNA intergenic spacer
Rfam family: Bacterial small subunit ribosomal RNA
Source: RNAcentral